GUGGUCCUGGAAAUCCGCGCCGGCACGGGUGGCGAUGAAGCCAGUAUUUUCGCGGGCGACCUGUUCCGGAUGUACAAGUACUAUGUGGAAUCCCGUGGCUGGAAGCUCACCGUGGCCAGCGCGAGCGAAGGGACCAUGGGAGGCUUUAAGGAAAUCCUCUGCGAGGUCGAGGCUCGGGGCGCCUAUGGCGUGCUCAAAUACGAGAGCGGGGUGCAUCGCGUGCAGCGAGUACCGGCCACCGAGACUCAAGGGCGUGUGCAUACCUCGGCCGCCAGCGUGGUGGUAAUGCCCAUGGUGGAUGAGAUGGAUGACAUCAAUAUCCGCGAUGAGGAUAUCCGGGUUGACACCUACCGGGCGGGAGGCGCCGGCGGCCA
Molecule: unclassified non-coding RNA, 374 nt
Filed under: uncultured fungus
Lineage: Eukaryota; Fungi
Description: sequence contains ITS1
Source: RNAcentral